UACAGAGAGUGCGAACGUUGUUCGGAAUUACUGGGCUUAAAGCGCACGUAGGCGGUGCUGUAAGUGUCAGGUGAAAUCCCACGGCUCACCCGUGGAACUGCCUGGCAGACUGCGGUACUAGAGUGUGGUAGGGGAGAGCGGAACUCCUGGUGGAGCGGUGAAAUGCGUAGAUAUCAGGAGGAACACCGGUGGCGAAGGCGGCUCUCUGGUCCACAACUGACGCUGAGGUGCGAAAGCCAGGGGAGCAAACGGG
RNAcentral lists this ribosomal RNA (253 nucleotides) under uncultured prokaryote. Its description in RNAcentral is "partial 16S ribosomal RNA". It matches the Rfam family "Bacterial small subunit ribosomal RNA", at positions 524 to 776 of the family's 1533-position model. The record is from RNAcentral.